CCUACGGGGUGCUGCAGUGAGGAAUAUUGGUCAAUGGCCGGGAGGCUGAACCAGCCAAGUCGCGUGAGGGAAGACGGCCCUACGGGUUGUAAACCUCUUUUGUCAGGGAGCAAGGUGCAGGUCGGGACCUGCUGUGAGAGUACCUGAAGAAAAAGCAUCGGCUAACUCCGUGCCAGCAGCCGCGGUAAUACGGAGGAUGCGAGCGUUAUCCGGAUUUAUUGGGUUGAAAGGGUGCGCAGGCGGAAGCACAAGUCAGCGGUAAAAUCGCGGGGCUCAACCCCGCUCCGCCGUUGAAACUGUGUCCCUUGAGGGCGCGGAGGGUUGGCGGAAUGCGUGGUGUAGCGGUGAAAUGCAUAGGUAUCACG
Molecule: ribosomal RNA, 365 nt
Filed under: uncultured bacterium
Lineage: Bacteria
Description: partial 16S ribosomal RNA
Rfam family: Bacterial small subunit ribosomal RNA
Source: RNAcentral